Molecule: ribosomal RNA, 301 nt
Filed under: uncultured bacterium
Lineage: Bacteria
Description: partial 16S ribosomal RNA
Rfam family: Bacterial small subunit ribosomal RNA
Source: RNAcentral
CAGCCGCCGCGGGAAUACGUAGGGUGCAAGCGUUAAUCGGAAUUACUGGGCGUAAAGCGUGCGCAGGCGGUUUUGUAAGACAGAGGUGAAAUCCCCGGGCUCAACCUGGGAACUGCCAUUGUGACUGCAAGGCUGGAGUGCGGCAGAGGGGGAUGGAAUUCCGCGUGUAGCAGUGAAAUGCGUAGAUAUGCGGAGGAACACCGAUGGCGAAGGCAAUCCCUGGGUCAAUACUGACGCCCAUGCACGAAAGCGUGGGGAGCAAACAGGAUUAGAUACCCCCGUAGUCCCUGUCUCUUAUACA